GCUUCAGUAGCGUAUAUUAAAGUUGUUGCAGUUAAAAAGCUCGUAGUCGCAUUUCUGGCGAGAGGAUCCGGUCCGACCUUUUGGUGGGUUCUUGGGUCUCUUUCGCCAUCCUUGAGUGGUCCGUUCUGGCAUUAGGUUGUCGGAGCGUCAGCCGCUCAUCGUUUACUGUGAGAAAAUUAGAGUGUUCAAAGCAGGCUUAU
This 200-nucleotide ribosomal RNA is filed under the name uncultured eukaryote. RNAcentral describes it as "partial 18S ribosomal RNA". It matches the Rfam family "Eukaryotic small subunit ribosomal RNA", at positions 588 to 789 of the family's 1831-position model. The record is from RNAcentral.